Molecule: ribosomal RNA, 635 nt
Filed under: uncultured archaeon
Lineage: Archaea
Description: bacterial SSU rRNA
Rfam family: Archaeal small subunit ribosomal RNA
Source: RNAcentral
ACACGUAGUCAACCUACCCUGGGGACGGGGAUAACCUCGGGAAACUGAGGCUAAACCCCGAUGGGCCAUGGCUCCUGGAAUGGGCUAUGGCUGAAAUCUACAUGGCCCCAGGAUGGGACUGCGGCCGAUCAGGUUGUUGGUGGGGUAAUGGCCCACCAAGCCUAUAACCGGUGCGGGCUCUGAGAGGAGGAGCCCGGAGAUGGGCACUGAGACAAGGGCCCAGGUCCUAUGGGGCGCAGCAGGCGCGAAACCUCCGCAAUGGGCGAAAGCCCGACGGGGUCAGUCCGAGUGGUUCCCGCUGAGGGAACCUUUUGCCAGCUGUAAACAGGCUGGCGAAUAAGGGGUGGGCAAGUUUGGUGUCAGCCGCCGCGGUAAUACCAGCACCCCGAGUGGUCGGGACGAUUAUUGGGCCUAAAGCAUCCGUAGCCGGCCCAGUAAGUCCUCCGUUAAAUCCAACGGCUCAACCGUUGGGCUGCGGGGGAUACUGCUGGGCUAGGGGACGGAAGAGGCGAGGGGUAUUCCCGGGGUAGGGGUAAAAUCCACUGAUCCCGGGAGGACCACCAGUGGCGAAGGCGCCUCGCUAGAACGUGCCCGACGGUGAGGGAUGAAAGCUGGGGGAGCGAACCGGAUUAGAU